RNAcentral lists this ribosomal RNA (301 nucleotides) under uncultured bacterium. Its description in RNAcentral is "partial 16S ribosomal RNA". It matches the Rfam family "Bacterial small subunit ribosomal RNA", at positions 509 to 809 of the family's 1533-position model. The record is from RNAcentral.
CAGUAGCCACGGGAAAACGGAGGGGGCUAGCGUUGUUCGGAAUUACUGGGCGUAAAGCGCACGUAGGCGGCUUGGUAAGUUAGAGGUGAAAGCCUGGAGCUCAACUCCAGAAUUGCCUUUAAGACUGCCGAGCUAGCAGGUGAGAGAGGUAAGUGGAAUUCCGAGUGUAGAGGUGAAAUUCGUAGAUAUUCGGAAGAACACCAGUGGCGAAGGCGGCUUACUGGCUCAUACUGGACGCUGAGGUGCGAAAGCGUGGGGAGCAAACAGGAUUAGAUACCCGCGUAGUCCCUGUCUCUUAUAA